This 408-nucleotide ribosomal RNA is filed under the name uncultured bacterium. Its description in RNAcentral is "partial 16S ribosomal RNA". It matches the Rfam family "Bacterial small subunit ribosomal RNA", at positions 28 to 526 of the family's 1533-position model. The record is from RNAcentral.
GACGAACGCUGGCGGCGUGCUUAACACAUGCAAGUCGAACGAAGUGGCGAACGGGUGAGUAACGCGGAAUCAACCUGCCCUUCAGAGGGGGACAACAGUUGGAAACGACUGCUAAUACCGCAUACUGAAGGAGGGGCUUGCGUGUGAUUAGCUAGUUGGGGGGGUAACGGCCCACCAAGGCGAUGAUCGGUAGCCGGUCUGGGGGGGUGAACGGCCAAAAUGGGACUGGGACAAGGCCCAGGAUCCUACGGGGGGCAGCAGUGGGGAAUCUUCCGCAAUGGACGAAAGUCUGACGGAGCAACGCCGCGGGAGUGAUGACGGCCUUCGGGUUGUAAAGCUCUGUUAAUCGGGACGCGGUACCGGAAUAGAAAGCCACGGCUAACUACGUGCCAGCAGCCGCGGUAAUAC